AGCCCUUUGGUUCCAACACUUUCAGGCGUGAUCAUGCAUUGCCAACGAUAGCCUGACCGCCCUCUCAAGGCGGUAGCACGGGUUCGAAUCCCGUCGGGGCUACCA
RNAcentral lists this transfer RNA (105 nucleotides) under Chloroflexota bacterium. RNAcentral describes it as "tRNA-Ser". The record is from RNAcentral. Lineage: Bacteria; Bacillati; Chloroflexota.